GUUUUGGAUUUUCAAUGAAAAUACUGGUGAUAACACACCAAUAUUUUUAGCUGUUUUUACAUAGAAUCAAAGACUUUAUCUGCUUUUUAUGUUGCCCUGACUCCAAGGAGGCUGGGGUUGCACAAGAAGCUGGGAGAGGACGCAGGCAGGACAGCUGACACAGACUGACCUGGAUAUGGAUAUUCCAUACCAUAUGAUGUCAUGAAAUAAAAUCUGGGUGAACGUGGAUGGAGCUGGGG
Cygnus olor (mute swan) is the source of this 239-nucleotide long non-coding RNA. RefSeq lists it as uncharacterized. The transcript has 3 exons. The record is from RefSeq and is a predicted model, not a curated record. Lineage: Eukaryota; Metazoa; Chordata; Aves; Anseriformes; Anatidae.